CUGAGAUGGAGAGGCUCUGGGCUCUGAUCUGGCAUGUGCCACCUUCUCCUGGUGAGAUCAGUACCUUUAAGGAUAGAGGAAUGGGCAAUUAUAAAUUAUGUAAAUCCUGGAAGAGUAUGGACAAUUAUAGAUUCCAGAAUUUAUAAAAACUCUCAGGUCAGUGCCAGCUCUGCUCACACUUAAAGACAACUGGACCCUCAGCAUGUGUGAGUGAGUGUUCUGUCAAUUCUUUAGGUCAACCAGCAAAUGUUUCUCACCCUGACAAGACCCAUCAGGCAAGUAUGAAGUUGGGACGAUCACAAAAAUUAGGGAACAGUUUUUUAAAUGGUUGCAUGUACUUAAUCACAUUUUAAAGUUAAAACUUAAGAAUUAAAACCUGAGAACUUUUGACUUCUCCCAGCAACAAAGAGGAUGUAUACAGCUAUUCUUGAACAAGCGAAUGCCUGCUAAUUCAAUUGCCUAAAAUUCCAGUCAUUAGCCAAGCAGUUUUCCAAAUUAAGACAUCCGGUCUCCUACAAUUUUCCACUUAAGCCAGAACACAGAAAAAUAGAUUUGACCAAUCAACUUAAGAUUACCCAUGAAAAUAUGACUUAUGGUGUAUGGAUUAGUAGUUGUACAGUGUAUUAUGAAAAAUCUAUGCUGCCACCUUCACGUUCCCAAUCCAGGUUGUAGAAAAUGGAUCACAUUUUUUUUAAUGUGCAUAUAGAAUCUUCUUAAAUGACUAGAAGCAAAAUGUUUGAACACUUCUAUCUGAGUGAUUUAAGGUAAUCUAAUAAUUCAUAAGCUCUGAACAGAAUUAAUAUUAAAAAUAAAGAUGCCAUGUAUGAUACAUAUUUAGGAUCUAUAGGGUACAUAAUCACAAUUUUGAAAACACACAAGAAUUCUCAGUUCAUAUAAUUUAUUGCAGUUAGCACACAGUUUAAAAAUUCACCAACACACCAAUAGUACAAAACUAAACAGCAUUAUAAGUUAUUCCCCCCUCAGGAAAAUAAAACAUACUAUGAUUGUCAAAGCUAGAUGUCAGUCUAAGUUUUAGAACAAAGGAAGAAUGUGAAACUAAUAAAAGGAAAAAGCAAUCACUCACAAUGACCACAAAAAAAAAUCCAAAAGAAAGUCCGUUUUCUCACAGACAUUGAUUGUCUUCUCUAAAUUAAUAAAAAUUAUCUUAACAUAAACUGUACUUUAAAAAAACUAGAAACUCUUCAAGUAACUAAAGAUAAUGCUCCAAGGCCAUUUUCACAGCUUUUUUUGUUUGUUUGUUUGCUUUAAAUGCCAUUACAGCCAAAUUAACACACAUUUGACCAAAUAUUUCCAAAACAGUCCAGCAACACACAAUGGAGUUUUCCAUUCAGUAUCUUAAGCACAAAAAUAGGCUAUGUUUACAGUAGUUAAGGCGAUCAAAUUUUAAACAAAAGCAAUUUAAAAAAAAAAAAAAGGGAAAAACAGCAAACGUUUUCCAUGCUACUCCCAUAGACCUUAUUUGUAAGUGCAAGACAGGAAAACAAACACUGUGCAAAAUGCUUUUACCCUGCGUGCUGGUCAUCGAAACCACACGUUGGGCUGCAGCCUCUGCUGCCGCGAUACACAUAGUCUACUAACCCCCUUCCCCGUGUCAAUCAAGGCAGUCCAGUCCAUUCAGCCUGGGGCUUUUUCAGUCCAUAGAAUCUUUUCAUGAGUUGGGGGUGUGGGGGGGGAUGGGGGGGUAAGGGAUGGAGGGAGGAAGGGAGGGAAAGGAAGAAGGGGAGAGAAAGAAAAGGGGAGGAAAAAAAAAAAAGAGAAUGACCUAUUGUCAAUUUGUGCAGUAGUUAACUCUAAAAACGCUCAACUGGGUAAAUGUGUACAUCUAAACUUUGAGCUGGCCUGGGUUUUGUGCAAUUAGAAGUUUUGUUAUAAAUGCACACUGCACAUGCAGAUCUUUAAGCCGUUUGUAAACAUUUAUAUUUUCCUUGUUAUGUAGCGAAGUUAUCAAUUUGCAGCUUAAGUUUUUAUUCAGCUUAACAGUUUCAACUUAAAGACAGUGGGAAAGUCAAUUUAAAUUAUAUAAAAUAAAAAUAAAAACAGUGCAUUAACGUUCUUCAUAACACCAGGUUUUUUUUCUCCAAAUGGUGCUAUUUCUCUAAGGAAAUUAAAUAAUUUUAAA
Molecule: long non-coding RNA, 2140 nt
Organism: Cervus elaphus (red deer)
Lineage: Eukaryota; Metazoa; Chordata; Mammalia; Artiodactyla; Cervidae
Exons: 2
Source: RefSeq, a predicted model, not a curated record